Molecule: ribosomal RNA, 748 nt
Filed under: uncultured bacterium
Lineage: Bacteria
Description: bacterial SSU rRNA
Rfam family: Bacterial small subunit ribosomal RNA
Source: RNAcentral
AGAGUUUGAUCCUGGCUCAGGAUAAACGCUGGCGGCGUGCCUAACACAUGCAAGUCGAACGUCCUCUGGCAACAGAGGGAGUGGCGGACGGGUGAGUAACACGUGGGUAUCUCCCACAAGGUGAGGAAUACCACCGAGAAAUCGGUGACAAGACCGCAUACGCUCGUAAGAGCAAAGCCGCAAGGCGCCCUGUGACGAGCCUGCGUCUGAUUAGCUAGUUGGUGGGGUAAGAGCCUACCAAGGCCACGAUCAGUAGCUGGUCUGAGAGGAUGAUCAGCCACACUGGGAUUGAGAACGGCCCAGACUCCUACGGGGGGCAGCAGUGAGGAAUUUUCGUCAAUGGGGGCAACCCUGAACGAGCAACGCCGCGUGCAGGAAGACACUUUUCGGAGCGUAAACUGCUUUUCUGGGGGAAGAGUAAGGACGGUACCCCAGGAAGAAGCCCCGGCUAACUACGUGCCAGCAGCCGCGGUAAUACGUAGGGGGCAAGCGUUGUCCGGAGUUACUGGGCGUAAAGCGCCCGCAGGCGGUCUUUUCAGUUCAGACUGACAGGUCCCAGCUUCACUGGGAGAGGCGUAUGAAGACGGGAAGACUUGAGCGAUAGAGAGGGACAGGGAAUUCCGGGUGGAGUGGUGAAAUGCGUAGAUAUCCGGAGGAACACCAAAGGCGAAGGCACUGUCCUGGCUAUCUGCUGACGCUCAUGGGCGAAAGCGAGGGGAGCGAACGGGAUUAGAUACCCCGGUAGUCC